This 212-nucleotide non-coding RNA is filed under the name Pan troglodytes (chimpanzee). The record is from RNAcentral. Lineage: Eukaryota; Metazoa; Chordata; Mammalia; Primates; Hominidae. RNAcentral also lists the same sequence under 1 other name.
CUGGGUUUCGCCGCUGCUCCUGUUCCUCGAGCAGCCUUCAAGCAGUGGAAAUUACGGAGAAAUGAACAUUCUGAAAGCGCCUAGUAAAUGGUGGGGAAGUGAAGACACUGGAAGGUGAUAUGGCCUUUCCAAAGUGGCAUGGCUGAUUGAUGACAGACCACCAUUGGAAACAAGGUGGUUUGACUCCAGAGCCCGCACCCUCCACCACAACG